UCUUACGGCCACCCGCCUGGUUCACGCUUGAUCUCGGAAGAUAAGAUAGGUUGGGCCUGGUUAGUACUUGGAUGGGAGACCGCCUGGGAAUACCAGGUGCUGUAAGCU
RNAcentral lists this ribosomal RNA (108 nucleotides) under Scophthalmus maximus (turbot). The record is from RNAcentral. Lineage: Eukaryota; Metazoa; Chordata; Actinopteri; Pleuronectiformes; Scophthalmidae.